UCCUGCGGAUUUGGCCAAAUAAUACACUGAACUAACCACCUAAAUACACAUGACUAACCAUAAAGCACAUAACCGUGUAAACUCAGUUGAAAUUCCUAAAUUCAAUUUUACACGGUUCUGUGCUUUAUGGUUAGUCAUGUGUAUUUAGGUGGUUAGUUCAGUGUAUUAUUUGGCCAAAUCCGUAGGA
This 187-nucleotide microRNA precursor is filed under the name Lotus japonicus. RNAcentral's name for it is "miR11107a stem-loop (lja-MIR11107a)". The record is from miRBase by way of RNAcentral. Lineage: Eukaryota; Viridiplantae; Streptophyta; Magnoliopsida; Fabales; Fabaceae.